GCCGGUGUGCCGGGGGGCGCGGUGGUUCCGGCGACCUCGGUGGUCGUGGCGGUGGUGGUGGACGUCGAUGCUUGCGGUUCCGGUCGCGGCUCCGGUU
Molecule: transfer RNA, 97 nt
Filed under: Streptomyces badius
Lineage: Bacteria; Bacillati; Actinomycetota; Actinomycetes; Kitasatosporales; Streptomycetaceae
Description: tRNA-Pro(cgg)
Source: RNAcentral